GUCCAGAUGAUGCUUACAGGGACACUGCAUAGCGGGGCAUUUAAUGACCAUAGCGGUGCAUUUAAUGAGUCUAUUACUACAGUGCCACCAAGCACAGAGGGACACCAGAUAGGAAAUCAACAUACGCAAAGGGGUAUGUCGUCGGGUAUAAAGAGCCACAUCCUCAUAGCCGUCAUGCAGUUUAAAGGGACUACAAACCCACUUCCUAUCAUGCUCGUAAUGCUCUUUGAAAGCAUCAGGCAACCCAGCAAUGCAGAGAUAAACAACCCUCCAAACUACUCACAGUACCUCCAUCUUUCCCUCCCACCUUUGGCCCCAACAUUGCUUCUCACCUGUAGGCUGCUCCUCCAUCUGCAAGGUGUCCUCAAAUCUCAAGUACUCCAUCUCCUGCUUGCAGUUCUGGGACCACAAUACUUUGGCCACUCCACAAGCCAACACUCUGACGGCUGUCACCCGGGUCACUUCGGCCACCUCCACCAGGACCUUGCCGGUUACCUUCUCCCCGCCGCAGUACACCUUCUGCGGGUCGGCGAAGGACACUUCGAAGCACUUGACUUUCUUGAAGACAACCAUGAUGACAAUGAGUUCUAUUCCAAUGGGCAACUAAGAAGCCUGAGAAGACAGUUGGGCUGCAGGGGGCAACCUGUUUGGCAAUGAGGAGUCCAAUGGAAUUGCAAGCAAUGAAGAAUAGUCCUUAGGUUUUUGAAACCACGAAUAACUUCAUUUCCAUGAAUGGCAGUCAUCUAUCAAAAGAUCCAAAUGGAAAAGGCAUGAAUGAAAAAAGACCCAGAAAAAAACCUCCAAAGCUGCGAAUUAAUUAAAAUUAAAUCGUCGAACAAAAA
Long non-coding RNA from Xenopus tropicalis (tropical clawed frog), 842 nucleotides. RefSeq lists it as uncharacterized. The record is from RefSeq and is a predicted model, not a curated record. The transcript is spliced from 2 exons. Lineage: Eukaryota; Metazoa; Chordata; Amphibia; Anura; Pipidae.